UACGGAGGGUGCAAGCGUUAUCCGGAUUCACUGGGUUUAAAGGGUGCGUAGGCGGGCAGGUAAGUCCGUGGUGAAAUCUCUGAGCUUAACUCAGAAACUGCCAUGGAUACUAUUUGUCUUGAAUAUUGUGGAGGUGAGCGGAAUAUGUCAUGUAGCGGUGAAAUGCUUAGAUAUGAACAUAGAACACCAAUUGCGAAGGCAGCUCACUACACAGUCAUUGACGCUGAGGCACGAAAGCGUGGGGAUCAAACAGG
RNAcentral lists this ribosomal RNA (254 nucleotides) under uncultured bacterium. RNAcentral describes it as "partial 16S ribosomal RNA". It matches the Rfam family "Bacterial small subunit ribosomal RNA", at positions 524 to 776 of the family's 1533-position model. The record is from RNAcentral.